RNAcentral lists this long non-coding RNA (1722 nucleotides) under Homo sapiens (human). RNAcentral's name for it is "HSALNT0279339". The record is from RNAcentral. Lineage: Eukaryota; Metazoa; Chordata; Mammalia; Primates; Hominidae.
AGGUGACACACGCCGCCAGUCUGCGUCCCCGGCUGUCUGCGCAUCCCGUCGCGCACGUGGCCGGGCGCGCGGGGAGGUAGCGCCGGCUCCUCUGGAAGCCCUCGCAGCGGCAGCGCCCCCAGCCUCGCAGCCCCGGCGGGGGCCGAGAGCGCACCUGGCUGGAGAUGCUUCCUCCUCACCCUGGGCUCUGACCUCACGCCCGCAGCCCGAGGGCCCUCCCUGGUACCUCUGCCCUGCUGGCCGGUGCCUGGAGUGGCCCCGCCCGACUCCUGCCGUCUGACACGGUCCUGGCUGCCCUCCGGGCUCUCCAGCAGCUGCUGUCCACCUCCACCAGGGAGCCCACCUUGAUUGCUGCGACAGCCGCACUCAAAGGCUGAACAGCCGGGGUACACAUUGCCCUGGUCUGGACUUCACCCUGUCGUGCCCCUUCCCUGCUCUCUGUACAGAAGUCUGACUCACCUGUGUGGUUUGGUGCAAACCCACAGAUUGCCAACAUUGGUCCAAAGUCACCGGCCUGAGAGCAGCUCAGGGUUCCAGGACGUGAGUGGCCACCCGCCAGCCCCAGGGCUAGUGGGUUGAGAGUUGGGGGCCAGAGGGCCCAGGGGCUGGUCCUCUUGGCACUGCCAGGCGUUCUCAGUGGCCCUCAGGGGUCUAAAUAUUGUGGCAGACAUCCCCGGGCGGUCUGGUGUGACCGUCAGCGCGCACACACACUUGCCUCGGAGCUUCCAGCCUCCCCUAAGUCUGACCUCUCAUCUCUAUACAGUCACCAUCGCUGUCCCUGCGCUGACCACUCACACACCACUCCCCUGUUCAGCUCUUCUGAGGCUGUGGCUCUCGGGACUGGCCCAGGCCCACCUGCCAUCUGGGCGCCCUCUGGGGCUCGCUUCGUCGCCCGCUGCCUGGGCCCAUGCCUGUGCUCCUGGGGGCUCCUCUCUUGCCUAGCUCAUCUCUUCCUGUCCCUUGGGUCCUGAGGAUCAAAGCCAACGCGACAUUGUUUGUCCCCAGGCCCCUCCCCCUCCAGCCGCUGCUUCCCAGAGCUCUGUCCAGUUCUCUCCCGCAGUACGAGGGCAGGGUUGGGGCUGGUGGGUUAGCCUUCCCCCACCCACCACGCACCCAGCACAGGGCUCCCCCGAGAUCAGAUCCCUGGUAGGAUGACACCCCAAGCCUUCCCCUCCAGCAGUAUCCACACAGCACCUGCGAAGGAGGAGGGGCUGCUGCCCAUGUGGGUCCUCCCGGGGACCUACCUGAGGGUCCAGUGGGGCUGCCCUCUUCUGUGCUGGACACGCAGCAGAGGUGGGCAGAGAUGCUGGAGAGCACGGUAGGUCUAGGGGGUGACCACUACAGUUGAGUUCAUGUCAGGCUCCAGGCCAGUCUUCCCUGAGUCAUCCUGGCCGUAGAAGACCAGGCUCUGGCGGGCAGGCACCCCACCCUGGCUCUCCCUAGGCCCCGGGUCUUGCUCUGAAACCCUCAAGUGUCCCUUAACUAAGAUCCAGGAGGACUUGCUCCUUCAGAAAGCACGGUGUGCCUGUCCUCCACGGCCCUCCUCCCGCUCACUCCAGGUGUGCUGGAGAUUCCUCCAGGCCUCCAGAUGGGAUUCCUGCCACACAGGCCUCGGUGAAAGCCUCCGGAGGGCUCCUGCGUGGGGGUCCAGCAGCCUGGCCCUGGAGUGGAGGGCAGGGCAGGGCCAGAGGCAGCCCUUUCCCUAAAGUGUGACAUCUUUGU